Patella vulgata (common limpet) is the source of this 320-nucleotide long non-coding RNA. RefSeq lists it as uncharacterized. The record is from RefSeq and is a predicted model, not a curated record. The transcript is spliced from 3 exons. NCBI's taxonomy places the organism in Eukaryota, Metazoa, Mollusca, Gastropoda, Patellidae.
UUACUUAUUUAAAUGAUUAAAUAAUAAUCUAUGUUAUUGUUUUCUGCUGCAUUUCAACAUGGCGACUCCCAAGCCCAGGAAUGUGACCCCAAUUAUACAGAAGUUAAGACAAAUGCUUCUACCACAUAGUAAACCACACAACAAUGCACUUAGAUUUGAAAAUUUGAUGAUAUCAAAAAGAACUCAACCACCCCCAAAGUUACCUGACGGACCAUCGCAUAAACUGUCAGAUAAUUAUUAUUAUACUAGAGAUGGUAGAAGAGAAGUGUUGCCACCUGUUAGAAUAUAUGAUAGCAGUAAACCUAGAUUAACAGCAGGAA